Molecule: long non-coding RNA, 863 nt
Filed under: Olea europaea subsp. europaea
Lineage: Eukaryota; Viridiplantae; Streptophyta; Magnoliopsida; Lamiales; Oleaceae
Source: RNAcentral
CUCAGUAACUACAAACUUGCACUAGUCUUCCGUGUAUUUAUCGAACGUUAUUUCCAGACAUUACUGCCACACCACAAACUCCACAUAUCACUAUUUCCCGUCAUAGCAUAAGCAAACACUAAUUCAACUGGAAUUUGAUGAAUCAGCCUCACCCCCCAACUUCUACCACUUCUCUUUGUACUUCGGUUUCGUCUUUAGCAAUGUGAUAAACCAAAGAUACCUGACAUUUGAAGCUUGUAUUAGCCAAACCAAAGGUUGCUGCACGAUGCACCUAAAAUGCAUGAUAGGUAAAGCAACCGCUGAAUGAACCUAUCCGACGAGUUCGUCAGAAGGAUAUGGAUUUACUAGAGGUUCUUGCAACUGGAAUGGCCUGGUUGGCUAAUGCCAAGCUUCUUAUAACUUCUACCACUUCUCUUUGUUCUUUGGUUUCGUCUUUCGCAAUGUGAUUAACCAAAGAUACCUGACAUUUGAAGCUCGUUUUAACCAAGCCAAAGGUUGCUGCACGAUGCACCUAAAAUGCAUGAUAGGUAAAGCAACCGCUGAAUGAACCUAUCCAACGAGUUCGUCAGAAGGAUAUGGAUUUACUAGAGGUUCUUGCAACUGGAAUGGCCUGGUUGGCUAAUGCCAAGCUUCUCAUUUCUUGGGCCUUCUUUUGUGCUGAUCUCAAUUUGUUCAUAAUUUUGUCCGUGGAUGAUGACCUCUUCUUUUCCAAUUUCAUUAGGAAUUGGUCAAAUCAUUACAUUAUUUCCUAAUUUUUAUAGAGCACCAAGCUGAAAGACCAUCUAGCUUAGAAACAGGACUAACUUGAUAAAACAUACAUAUGUAUAUUCCUCUAACUAUUUUCUGGAAUAACUUGAAAAAAC